CGUCUUACCUGUUCAAUAUUUAGA
RNAcentral lists this microRNA (24 nucleotides) under Caenorhabditis elegans. Its description in RNAcentral is "cel-miR-236-5p". Its record names the gene cel-miR-236-5p. Lineage: Eukaryota; Metazoa; Nematoda; Chromadorea; Rhabditida; Rhabditidae. The record is from miRBase by way of RNAcentral.